CAAUUUUUGUGACAGUCAAACUCUGACUGUCCUUGUUGUCUUGUGUCAGAGCUGUUCUCCAGGGUGACUCUGACAGCCUCUCCAGGAGCCACAGUGAAGGAGGGAGAGGCUCUUAACCUGACCUGUGAGGCAGCAGUGAACAAACCCCCCCGCCCUGAACUCCACUACACCAUUGUGAGAGACGGGGAGCCUGUGACUAACAGCACUGACUCUGCACUGUACAGCAUAGCCAGCACUGAGAAGAGCCACACUGGGAGCUACACGUGUGCUGUGGAGUCACAGGGAGUGAAGAAGAGCAGCCAGGAGCUACACAUUGAAGUGCAAACGUCCUGGCACAGCGCUGUUGCUAUUGGCUACAGAGUGAGCUUCACUCUGAUUCAUUUCAUUGUGUUCACUCUGCUGCUCCUUCAAUACUGCAGGAUCCAAGGUUCCCUGUGUAUUGCUGGCGGUACAUCACGGUAAGUCAGUAUUGACCAGUAUGUGUACAGACAGGGGGGCAGCACUCGCUAUCUCUACCUGUCAUCAUCCUUUACAGCACUGAAAAUGGAGAUGGAAACUUUCUGAUUCACUCUUUAAGAAUCCCUCUUGCAAACUCACAUUCACUUUGACCUGUGUCCUGAAAUGCUGUAUUGGGUUAAUUUGGCUUUUUUGGUUUCCAGAUGAUAAAGAUUCAUAAUCAUUAUUCUUUGAUUCAAGUUCAAUCCAGGGUAUUUAAAAAAAUAACCCUUUCAUCAGUAAUGUCACAAAGCUGCUGCCUCCACAGAGUGUCUUUACAGUUGAUACACAGCUGCUCCUUACCCUGAAAUGCACUCUGUGAUUUCAAUGGGACUUGAUUACUCUGAAGCCUAGAAGUGUCAUCAUCCUUUAAAGCUUCUGUUAUUGCUGCAGUUAAACUCUGAGCCCUCCUUGUGUGUCUCUGACAUCUGUCUCAGGAAAACCUCAGAUCAGGAUCAGGAGCAGUCAGCAGAGAGGAUUGAGCUCUGCAGCCGUGUGCAGCACACUGGAGUGGAACUGCAAUAGUAUUGCACUGUCGUACUGAAGAUCAGCCUGAAUGCAUUGUCUUAGAACUGCUGUGAAUAUCUGUUCAAACUGCGGCUGUAGUUUACAGAAAAUAACCAUUGACUGGGGUAUUUUCUAAGACCUCAAAACAAAUGGAUUAUUCAUUGAUUGUUUGAUUUAAUUCAUUUAUUUAAUAGAUUGCUUGAUUGCACAGUUUAACUUUGAGUGCAUUACUGAACAAUGUAUGUAUUCAUAAGCUAUCCUUUAGUCAAUAAACUGCUUU
Molecule: long non-coding RNA, 1282 nt
Organism: Acipenser ruthenus (sterlet)
Lineage: Eukaryota; Metazoa; Chordata; Actinopteri; Acipenseriformes; Acipenseridae
Exons: 3
Source: RefSeq, a predicted model, not a curated record